This is a long non-coding RNA of Homo sapiens (human), 2215 nucleotides long. Ensembl annotates it as PRKG1 antisense RNA 1. Its record names the gene PRKG1-AS1. The record is from Ensembl. NCBI's taxonomy places the organism in Eukaryota, Metazoa, Chordata, Mammalia, Primates, Hominidae.
GGUGGCCGCCGAGAGCCGCCGCUACCAUCGCGACAAAGACCCGGGUAGCUCCCGCUGCGCCCAGAGCCAUCAUCUCAGAAGGACUCAAGAGGGAGAAAGAAAGAGAAAAUGACCGUCACUUUGCAAGCCUGGGUCCCCACGAAACCGUGCCGGUUCGGCUGCAGAGUCAGGGUCCGGGAGCCCCCUGCGGUCCCAGAGUCCUGACUGCAGGGAGCACAGAGCUCUGCGCCGCCACCGCCACCGCGGCUGCCUUUAUACCGCGGGCCCGGAGCAUUCCGGCCCCUUGGGAGGGAGACAACAAAGCCGGGAUGGGAUUUCAAAGCGCUGGGAGGGGCUGGGAGGGGGUGUGUUUGUGUACAUGAAGGGGGGCCUUUGACACUCUUCACCCCGCCCCUCCCUUGCUUAGUCGCUCGGCUGGCCCGGCUCACCUUCGGGGUGAAGGCUACCAGCGAGCGUUAUAGCAGACGACUUUAAUAAAUGCAGGCGGCAGCAGGAACUCUGGGAACUUGGGUGCCCUUGCCUGGCAGUAAGGGUUGAAUUAUCCGGAUCUGAAAUACUUUACAGAGCCGAGGGGUGAUAGGCUCUGCAAAAGCACUUUUUGCCCCUCUCCUUUAUGCCAAUACUCGCUGACUGUGCACACAAGUCAUAUUCAGUAUUAAAUACAAACCGGUCUGUAAUUCAAUGGCUCUAGCAAGACGCCUCUGAGAGGGCCAGGUGGCGGGUGCAAGUUGCUCAUUAACCCUUUAGAGUCGCAGUUUGCAGAUCUGAGUUAGAUCCCCGGCUUUGAGGUCCUUCAGUUGCCCUCCUCCCCCACCUCCCCCCGCCACUGCGAGAAAAAUGUGCAAAGAGAAGGAAAUUUGCACAUCAAACGAGGGGCAAUCGCGGCGGUAGAUGAACUUGAUUAGGCAGACGCGUGAGAUCAAAGUGGCCGGGACCAAAGCGGACAGGGUCCAACGUGCCAGCACUGCCAAGAGAAGGCCUUUUGUACUCAGGUUAAAUAAGAACAUCCUGCAAGGAGUCUGUUCUUUUAUGCAGCCUAAAGAUCAAGUAAUAAUCAUUGACACUGAUACUGAGCAUGUCGAUUUUGAAGAGACUAGCAUUUCCUGGUAAUGAAGUGGAGUAUAUAUCCAUAUAUUUCUGUUUUCUGGAUGAGAAGACUAACCUAACUAAGUAGGAACCUUGAAGAAUCAUGUUCUUCCUAGGAAUUACAAAUCCCCCGAUUCCAUGUCUAACAUAAUUUCUACUGGCCUCUUUGCUUCUCAUGCUUUAGUACCAGUGCUUCUGAAUUUGAAAGUCUUCAUGCAAAUUGCCCAGGUUUGCUGGCAGCUGUGUCUCAGAAAAAGCUGUCUUCAGCAAGGCAGAAGCAGAGGAUCUUCUAGAAGAUUUGCACUAUCAGCUUGGUAUUCAGUUCUCUAGCUUGAAAUGAUUUCAGUGCCUAACUGAAAAUACUCAUAUUGUCAAAGGCACACUAUGGACUUUCAAGUCACAGGUGAUAUUACUACAGUAUCUCCAACCAGUGUUAAGGGAAGCAUAAUACCAAUUCAGUGAGGCAUAUGGCUCUAAAACCUUCUCAUCUAAUAUUUAAGUAAAUAACAUCUUUCUACCUGUUCAAGUCAGAAAUUCCAACUGCAAUACAAAUAGACAAAUAUAAAAAUAGUACUGGGUCAAUGUACUUUUAAGGAAGGGGAUUUCUCCUGACCCCUGAUGGCAACGGUAACUGUUUACUGCACUGUACACAGUCUCAGGGAGUUCCUCACAUACUGUACUGGUGUCUGAUAUCAGGAACUCCUCUAUGUUCAGCAGAGAGGUGGAAAUCAAUCUGCAUUCUCAAUUAGGGUUUAUAGCCACACCGUCUUGAAAUGCAGUUAGUCAUAAGAGUACAUUUUUUUCUAAUUCUUGUGACACUAUGUCAGUUUUAAAAUUUAUAUUUCAAAUAAAUGCAAAGUAGAGUACGUUUUCAUAUUGUUUACACCACAUUCAUGCAAUGUAUUUAAUGUAUGAACUUGUACAAAGUGUCAUCAUCAUCUUCAUGAAUAUAUAGAUGUAUGUAUAUGUGUAUACAUAUGUAUACAGACAGUGUGUGUGAAAUAAACUAUAUAAAAUAUUCAAACUGUUAGGACUAGAAAUAGGUACUUGCAACUACAGAAUCACAGAAUUGCUACUACAACACCAUUUACUUCAUAUAUAUCUCUUCGAUUUCCCUUUAUAUGUAUUU